RNAcentral lists this long non-coding RNA (247 nucleotides) under Gallus gallus (chicken). The record is from RNAcentral. Lineage: Eukaryota; Metazoa; Chordata; Aves; Galliformes; Phasianidae.
CCUGUUUUCCAUGCUUUGCUCUGUGCUAACCAUUGUCUGCUCCUGUGGCCUGUCCCCACUGUGGUGAUAGGACCAAAUAGUUGGUUUAGCUCUGGUUUAGGUGCCCAAAGGAUGCGCUGUAAUGUGAAUCAAAGUGCAGAAGCAGAGGACAAAUGGAAUAUUUGCUUCAAAGCAAAGAAGACCAUGAGUUCCCAGCCCUGCAGAUGGGAACCUGCAACCCUCCCUCUGGGUGAGAUCCCUUCACUAG